This 76-nucleotide transfer RNA is filed under the name Chloroflexota bacterium. RNAcentral describes it as "tRNA-Lys". It matches the Rfam family "tRNA". From Rfam's summary of the family: Transfer RNA (tRNA) molecules are approximately 80 nucleotides in length. Their secondary structure includes four short double-helical elements and three loops (D, anti-codon, and T loops). Lineage: Bacteria; Bacillati; Chloroflexota. The record is from RNAcentral.
GAGCCCGUAGCUCAGCCGGUAGAGCAUCUGACUUUUAAUCAGGGGGUCGCGGGUUCGAAUCCCGCCGGGCUCACCA